AAUCAACGCUGGCGGCGUGCCUAACACAUGCAAGUCGAACGCGAAGACCCCGCAAGGGGUUGUUAGCGUGGCAAACGGGUGAGUAACGCGUGGGCGAUCUACCUUCGAGUGGGGGAUAACCUUCCGAAAGGAGGGCUAAUACCGCAUGACAUCCCGUGUUUGGAUACAUGGACAUCAAAGCCGGGGUCGCAAGACCUGGCGCUUGAAGAGGAGCCCGCGUCCGAUUAGCUAGNGGUGAGGUAACGGCUCACCAAGGCUCCGAUCGGUAUCCGGCCUGAGAGGGCGGACGGACACACUGGAACUGAGACACGGUCCAGACUCCUACGGGAGGCAGCAGUGGGGAAUUGUUCGCAAUGGGCGCAAGCCUGACGACGCAACGCCGCGUGGAGGAUGAAGACCU
This 400-nucleotide ribosomal RNA is filed under the name uncultured bacterium. RNAcentral describes it as "bacterial SSU rRNA". It matches the Rfam family "Bacterial small subunit ribosomal RNA", at positions 32 to 417 of the family's 1533-position model. The record is from RNAcentral.